This 429-nucleotide ribosomal RNA is filed under the name Bacteroidota bacterium. RNAcentral describes it as "Bacteroidetes bacterium partial 16S ribosomal RNA". It matches the Rfam family "Bacterial small subunit ribosomal RNA", at positions 355 to 776 of the family's 1533-position model. The record is from RNAcentral. Lineage: Bacteria; Pseudomonadati; Bacteroidota.
UAGGGAAUCUUCCGCAAUGGGCGAAAGCCUGACGGAGCAACGCCGCGUGAGUGAUGAAGGUCUUCGGAUCGUAAAACUCUGUUAUUAGGGAAGAACAAAUGUGUAAGUAACUAUGCACGUCUUGACGGUACCUAAUCAGAAAGCCACGGCUAACUACGUGCCAGCAGCCGCGGUAAUACGUAGGUGGCAAGCGUUGUCCGGAUUUAUUGGGCGUAAAGCGAGCGCAGGCGGUCAAUUAAGUCUGAUGUGAAAGCCCCCGGCUCAACCGGGGAGGGUCAUUGGAAACUGGUUGACUUGAGUGCAGAAGAGGAGAGUGGAAUUCCAUGUGUAGCGGUGAAAUGCGUAGAUAUAUGGAGGAACACCAGUGGCGAAGGCGACUCUCUGGUCUGUAACUGACGCUGAGGUUCGAAAGCGUGGGUAGCAAACAGG